This 305-nucleotide ribosomal RNA is filed under the name uncultured bacterium. RNAcentral describes it as "bacterial SSU rRNA". It matches the Rfam family "Bacterial small subunit ribosomal RNA", at positions 337 to 634 of the family's 1533-position model. The record is from RNAcentral.
GCCUACGGGAGGCAGCAGUAGGGAAUCUUCCACAAUGGGCGAAAGCCUGAUGGAGCAACGCCGCGUGGGUGAAGAAGGUCUUCGGAUCGUAAAACCCUGUUGUUAGAGAAGAAAGUGCGUGAGAGUAACUGUUCACGUUUCGACGGUACCUAACCAGAAAGCCACGGCUAACUACGUGCCAGCAGCCGCGGUAAUACGUAGGUGGCAGGCGUUAUCCGGAUUUAUUGGGCGUAAAGGGAACGCAGGCGGUCUUUUAAGUCUGAUGUGAAAGCCUUCGGCUUAACCGGAGUAGUGCAUUGGAAACU